GGACUUAGGAUAAACUAAAACCACAAACCUUCAAAGUUUGAAAUAAGAGUACUGCCUCUUAGUGCCUGAUAAAACCUG
This 78-nucleotide transfer RNA is filed under the name Gonocephalus chamaeleontinus (chameleon forest dragon). Its description in RNAcentral is "tRNA-Trp". The record is from RNAcentral. Lineage: Eukaryota; Metazoa; Chordata; Lepidosauria; Squamata; Agamidae.